UGUCUUGGCAUUUUUUCACAGCCUAAUGAACACUAUGUCUCAUCGACACAAAUUUGCUGAAGGACGCCUCUUAAUCGUUGGAAACAACCAAUAGUUGUGCCUCUUCCGAAACAUUGCGCCUCCGCGCUGCAUUGAUCUAUAAAAUGCCUUCAAACCUCAAUUACACCCAUUCUCCAUCACUUCUUUCUGCCUUGCCUACUUAAGUCCCAAUUAUUCUUGUACAAUUGGAGAAACUUCACCAAAAAAUGUCAUAUUCACUUCUUUGAGACUUGAAUUCUUCUAACGAUGACUGGUUGGUUAGGGUACGAGACUGGAGGGUAUGGGAAUCUAUUAUUCACAAACGAAGCCCUAACAUGAUAAGGCUCGACUUGAUUCUUAUUGAUGAAAAGGCAUUGCAUCUUUCUUAUUGAUUCUUAUUGAUGAAAAGGGAACUUUGAUGCACGCGGUAAUCUGGAAAAAUCAAGUUAGCAAGUUUCGAGAUAAGUUGAGCGAGGGUUGUGUAGUUAUUAUCAAAAACUUCAACGUUUCUGAAAUAAUUGGUAAAUACAGAUCAGUUCAGUCGCACUUUAAAAUAACAUUCUUUCGUUUAACUGCCACCCAAAAAAUCCCGGAUGAUAUUGUUCACAUUCUUACAAAUGUGUUUCAGUUUAUACAACCCGAAAUGGUCCCCUUAAGGUCAACAACAAGAUCGUCUUAUAAGGUACAUUCAUUCUUGCCAUUUAUGUUACAGACUGUUCUUCAACGUAUACAACAAAUAGUCUCCCAACAUAACCUUUAGAUGUGGUUGUCUGCUUAUGCGGAAUCGGUGAUCUAGAGAGUGUGGGUUCAAAAUUGAAGAAGCGCGAUAUAGAUAUCCUUACUGAUCCAUAAUAUUCUUAUCUCAUUCACGUUAUAUUCAAAUGCUUUAUUCAUCCCGAAUAAGCCGCAUAGAAAAUCAUAUUGAUUUACAAAGUAAUAAAUUAUAAUACUAUUUUAGUGAGAACAGGACUAUCAAAGCAAGAAAAACUUUGUGGGAGGAUCAUCGCGAAGAAUAUUACCCCUACGUAUAUACCAACCACUUAGGACCAUAAAUUGUCAUCGUUACUGUUACAACCCUUAAAGAGUUCAGAGGUAACUACUUCUUCUCAACAUACUAGAACGUUUUAAUUGCCACAUAUAUAUGAUAUUUUGACAUUUAACUUUUGUUUUUUUCCAUAAUAGGUGAACUGACUUUUGCAACAAGUGUAGCAAGAAAAAUUUAUAUUAAUCUUAAAAUGGAUAACAUUACCUCAUUGCUUCAUAAGUUCUCAAAGAUGUCAGUUGAUGUACAAACUAUUGGGAAUAAAAUGGAAGUAAUAUUCCCAUUGCAGAAGCUAUGUUUGAAAAUCGGAUGACUAUUGCAGAGUUAGUACAUUGCGACUGGAGUUCCGACAUAUACGUAAGUUCUAUAAUAACCCUUUAUACUAUAAGGACAAGACAUUGUAUAAACAUGCUACUGUUAUAUGCGCGCGCGCGCGCGCGUGUGUAUAUAUAUAUAUAUAUGUAUAUCGGUAUUACAUUUCUUGUAACAUCUGCAACAAGAAAGUUGAGGCUUCAGAUGGUGUCUACACAUGCCAAAAGUGCAACAAACAAUGAGACUUACCACUGGUUAGAUAAGCAACCAAAUAAUAUUGCAGCCAUAACUUACAUUCAACGAAAUGCUAACGUUUUAUGAAUACACAUUAAGGUUAAGGAGACUGGUGGGCAAAUCACUUUCGUCCUGUUUAAUGGAGUUGCGAAAUAACUUCUUGCUAAUUUUUCCCACAAGUUGGUUAACUGAUUGUCCAUAAGUGAGACUCUUGUACCGUCCCAGAUUCUCACUCUUUGCGGGAGGGACUUUGUCUUCAAACUAAAAUUGAGCUAUUUCAAUUUGAAAGAGGGGCUGGAAAACUACACAAUUACAAAAGUUUAUGUGCCAGAUGAAGAAUUAGAACACUGCUUAAACAAAGAAAAAAAGGGAAAAGAGAAAGUGGAAGAUUCACCUGAGCAAAUAAACUGUAAUAUGGGAGGAUCAAACAUGGACGACUCAAAAGAAAUUCCUAUCGGAGGGGAGGCUUCCACUUAAAAAAAAAAGAGUUUAUUCGAGAAAGUUGAAGAAGAGAUAGAGAAAAGAGAAACUGGAAGAUUCACCUGAGAAAACACACUGUAAUGUGGGAGGAUCAAUCACAAACGACUCAAAAGAAAUUCCUAUUGAAAGGGAGGCUUCCACUUCAAACAAAAGAGUUUAUUCAAGAAAGUCGAAGAAGAGACGAAACUUAUUCAUAGACGACUGUAGACAUCAUAAAACCGGCAUAGUAGAGUGUUUACCUGUGUUAGGGACCUUAAUAUGAUUUUCUUUGAUCAAGUAGUGCAUUUUUUCUUAGUUGGGAAACUUUUCAUGUCCAACAAUGGCUAAUAGUAUAUCAUAUGUUGAUGAUGAUUGUUAUGGUAGGGGAUUCCGUUA
Solanum pennellii is the source of this 2461-nucleotide long non-coding RNA. RefSeq lists it as uncharacterized. The record is from RefSeq and is a predicted model, not a curated record. The transcript has 3 exons. Lineage: Eukaryota; Viridiplantae; Streptophyta; Magnoliopsida; Solanales; Solanaceae.